Molecule: long non-coding RNA, 212 nt
Filed under: Elaeis guineensis (African oil palm)
Lineage: Eukaryota; Viridiplantae; Streptophyta; Magnoliopsida; Arecales; Arecaceae
Description: long non-coding RNA (EGUI_LNC024142)
Source: RNAcentral
GUUGUUGGAUGCCUCAGUCUCUCUCUCUCUCUCUCUCAAGUGAGUCUGAAGCCUAGUUCUCUCUCUCUCUUUCUAUCUUCUUGAUUCUAAUAUGCUACAGUUCAAUAUGCCUUGUACUAGUAUCUUAUCAUAUCGAUCAUCGAUUGGUACAACUUUUAGUAUUGGUUCGGUGAAUCUUUCAAUUGAUUUAUCUUACGUACCCAUAAAUGGAG